RNAcentral lists this ribosomal RNA (251 nucleotides) under uncultured bacterium. RNAcentral describes it as "partial 16S ribosomal RNA". It matches the Rfam family "Bacterial small subunit ribosomal RNA", at positions 524 to 775 of the family's 1533-position model. The record is from RNAcentral.
UACGUAGGGGGCGAGCGUUAUCCGGAUUUAUUGGGCGUAAAGGGUGUGUAGGCGGUUUGUUAAGUCUAAAAUCAAAGCCCGAGGCUUAACCUCGGUUCGUUUUAGAAACUGGCAAACUAGAGUACAGUAGAGGCAAGUGGAAUUUCUAGUGUAGCGGUUAAAUGCGUAGAUAUUAGAAGGAACACCAGUGGCGAAGGCGGCUUGCUGGGCUGUAACUGACGCUGAGACACGAAAGCAUGGGGAGCAAAUAG